UACGGAGGGUGCAAGCGUUAUCCGGAUUCACUGGGUUUAAAGGGUGCGUAGGCGGGUAUAUAAGUCAGUGGUGAAAGCUCCGGGCUUAACUUGGAAACUGCCAUUGAUACUGUAUAUCUUGAAUGUCGUUGAGGUUAGCGGAAUGUUGCAUGUAGCGGUGAAAUGCUUAGAUAUGUUACAGAACACCAAUUGUGAAGACAGCUAACUAAGCGAUGAUUGACGCGGAGGCACGAAAGCGUGGGGAGCAAACAGG
This 253-nucleotide ribosomal RNA is filed under the name uncultured bacterium. RNAcentral describes it as "partial 16S ribosomal RNA". It matches the Rfam family "Bacterial small subunit ribosomal RNA", at positions 524 to 776 of the family's 1533-position model. The record is from RNAcentral.